RNAcentral lists this ribosomal RNA (253 nucleotides) under uncultured prokaryote. Its description in RNAcentral is "partial 16S ribosomal RNA". It matches the Rfam family "Bacterial small subunit ribosomal RNA", at positions 525 to 777 of the family's 1533-position model. The record is from RNAcentral.
ACGGAGGGGACUAGCGUUGUUCGGAAUUAUUGGGCGUAAAGGGCGCGUAGGCGGCUUGAUAAGUCAAAGGUGAAAUCCCUCGGCUCAACUGAGGAACUGCCUUUGAAACUGUCUGGCUUGAGGCCGGGAGGGGGUAGCGGAAUUCCCAGUGUAGCGGUGAAAUGCGUAGAUAUUGGGAGGAACACCGGUGGCGAAGGCGGCUACCUGGACCGGUUCUGACGCUGAGGAGCGAAAGCGUGGGGAGCGAACAGGA